Molecule: ribosomal RNA, 687 nt
Filed under: uncultured bacterium
Lineage: Bacteria
Description: bacterial SSU rRNA
Rfam family: Bacterial small subunit ribosomal RNA
Source: RNAcentral
UCGGUCCCGAGUAGAGUGGCGCACGGGUGAGUAACGCGUAAGUGAUCUACCCCUGUAUCUGGGAUAACUAUGGGAAACUGUAGCUAAUACCGGAUACGUUCAUGUAAUUGCGAUUAUGUGAAGAAAGAUGGCCUCUGAUUCAAGCUAUUGUACAGGGAGGAGCUUGCGUACCAUUAGCUAGUUGGUAGGGUAAUGGCCUACCAAGGCAACGAUGGUUAGCGGGUCUGAGAGGAUGAUCCGCCACACUGGAACUGAAACACGGACCAGACUCCUACGGGAGGCAGCAGUGAGGAAUAUUGCGCAAUGGGGGCAACCCUGACGCAGCGACGCCGCGUGGAUGAUGAAGGCCUUCGGGUCGUAAAAUCCUGUCAGAUGGGAAGAAGUGUGUGGUGGUUAAUACCCUCCGCAUUUGACGGUACCAUCAGAGGAAGCACCGGCUAACUCCGUGCCAGCAGCCGCGGUAAUACGGAGGGUGCAAGCGUUGUUCGGAUUUACUGGGCGUAAAGCGCGCGUAGGCGGUUUGUUAAGUCAGAUGUGAAAGCCCAAGGCUCAACCUUGGACGUGCAUUUGAAACUGGCAGACUUGAGUAUUGGAGGGGGUGGUGGAAUUCCCGGUGUAGAGGUGAAAUUCGUAGAUAUCGGGAGGAAUACCGGUGGCGAAGGCGACCACCUGGCCAAAUACUGACGC